ACUCCUGCUCUCACACAUCGCUUUGCACACAGGCAGGGAUCUUACGCACGAAGGACUUUGCAUGAGAUGACACCAAACCAGGAUCUGGACAGCCUGCAAGCUUCACAUAGCACAUGAUCUGGAAUCCUAAAAACGGACAGAAACCACCUGAACCCAAAGCACAGGCUCAUUUCCAAAGUGAUUUACAUUGCAAAGCCGCAAUCUACUCAUCUUGGACUUGCGUAACCAACUAUGUCAAAGGAUGAGGAAAUUCCGAGCCCACCUCCAGAGUGGCCGGAAGAAAUCUUAAUGUAAACAUAUAUCGGAAAAGCCUGGAGGAGAAGUCAUCAUGAGAAGGAAUCUCUAGGACACUGGUAGAGUACUUAAUAACCAACCCACAGAAGACUCUCACCGUCGACUCAUUACAUGGAUAUACAGUGUGGAUGGACAGCUCACGCUAGCGCCUCCAUGAGGGAUUUGCCCUCCCCUCCUGUUGCCUGAGGUCAACCCAACACAACGCCACCUUGAUAAGUCUGGCUUAGCUGGCCACUUGAGUUUCAAUGCUCCACGCUGCUCUAAGAUGAGGGUAUGGAAAGAGGUCACCCUCGCCUUCAUCCUGUUUGGUGCCUCGUUUUUCCUCCUGCUUAUGAAAACCACAUCACCUGUUGGGUCUUCCUACCCAAAGGCCUUAGGGAUUUCAUCAGACCCUUCCUCACAGCCAGCAGCUACAGCACUUGAACCGCCACCAUCAUCCUCAUCUUCACUCUCAUCAACCUCAUCGAGGAAGCCAGUG
Molecule: long non-coding RNA, 772 nt
Organism: Sinocyclocheilus rhinocerous
Lineage: Eukaryota; Metazoa; Chordata; Actinopteri; Cypriniformes; Cyprinidae
Exons: 3
Source: RefSeq, a predicted model, not a curated record